Aethalodelphis obliquidens (Pacific white-sided dolphin) is the source of this 151-nucleotide long non-coding RNA. RefSeq lists it as uncharacterized. Lineage: Eukaryota; Metazoa; Chordata; Mammalia; Artiodactyla; Delphinidae. The record is from RefSeq and is a predicted model, not a curated record. The transcript is spliced from 4 exons.
AUUCCUUGAUAAGGAAAAAAAGCAACUUGGCAAAGAAUUAAUAUUGUUAAAAUGGCUAUACUACCAAAAGCAAUCUACAGAUUUGGUGUGAUCUCUAUCAGAAUACACAUGACAUUUUACACAAAGCUAGUAAAAAUAAUCCUAAAAUUUA